This 124-nucleotide small RNA is filed under the name Acinetobacter qingfengensis. RNAcentral describes it as "Manganese sequence". The stretch from base 1 to 101 matches the Rfam family "Manganese Mn2+ riboswitch aptamer (yybP-ykoY)". Rfam says of the family: This RNA was originally discovered in E. coli during a large scale screen and was named SraF. The family was later found to exist upstream of related families of protein genes in many bacteria, including the the yybP and ykoK genes in B. subtilis. The record is from Rfam by way of RNAcentral. Lineage: Bacteria; Pseudomonadati; Pseudomonadota; Gammaproteobacteria; Moraxellales; Moraxellaceae.
UUUAGAAUCUUUGGGGAGUAGCCGCACAAAUAUCCCAUGUGACAAGCGUCAACAUACUUGUUUUUUGAUUAAAACAUGGCGUUUGUAUCUUUACCACAAAUUUUUGUGGUUGGACUGGCAAGAC